RNAcentral lists this ribosomal RNA (253 nucleotides) under uncultured Catellatospora sp. Its description in RNAcentral is "partial 16S ribosomal RNA". It matches the Rfam family "Bacterial small subunit ribosomal RNA", at positions 524 to 776 of the family's 1533-position model. The record is from RNAcentral. Lineage: Bacteria; Bacillati; Actinomycetota; Actinomycetes; Micromonosporales; Micromonosporaceae.
GACGUAGGGCGCGAGCGUUGUCCGGAUUUAUUGGGCGUAAAGAGCUCGUAGGCGGCUUGUCGCGUCGUCCGUGAAAACUGAGGGCUCAACCCUCAGCUUGCGGUCGAUACGGGCAGGCUGGAGUUCGGUAGGGGAGACUGGAAUUCCUGGUGUAGCGGUGAAAUGCGCAGAUAUCAGGAGGAACACCGGUGGCGAAGGCGGGUCUCUGGGCCGAUACUGACGCUGAGGAGCGAAAGCGUGGGGAGCGAACAGG